UCACUUACCUGGACGGGGUCGACUCGCGAUCAAUAAGACGAGUGGCCUAGGCUAGUGACUGAAUUGCACAUACCGUUGGGGUGCUAUGCUUAAGGUCUUCCCUUGAGGAAGAGCCUACGUCAUUAGUUGUGGCAGAGGGGGUUUGCGUUCGCGCAGCCCCUAC
RNAcentral lists this small nuclear RNA (163 nucleotides) under Arabidopsis halleri subsp. gemmifera. RNAcentral's name for it is "snRNA U1". It matches the Rfam family "U1 spliceosomal RNA". From Rfam's summary of the family: U1 is a small nuclear RNA (snRNA) component of the spliceosome (involved in pre-mRNA splicing). Lineage: Eukaryota; Viridiplantae; Streptophyta; Magnoliopsida; Brassicales; Brassicaceae. The record is from RNAcentral.